CAGCAGCCGCGGGAAUACGAAGGGUGCAAGCGUUAAUCGGAAUUACUGGGCGUAAAGCGUGCGUAGGCGGUGAGUUAAGUCUGCUGUGAAAUCCCCGGGCUCAACCUGGGAAUGGCAGUGGAUACUGGCUCGCUAGAGUGUGUCAGAGGAUGGUGGAAUUCCCGGUGUAGCGGUGAAAUGCGUAGAGAUCGGGAGGAACAUCAGUGGCGAAGGCGGCCAUCUGGGACAACACUGACGCUGAGGCACGAAAGCGUGGGGAGCAAACAGGAUUAGAUCCCCUGUAGUCCCUGUCUCUUAUACA
Molecule: ribosomal RNA, 301 nt
Filed under: uncultured bacterium
Lineage: Bacteria
Description: partial 16S ribosomal RNA
Rfam family: Bacterial small subunit ribosomal RNA
Source: RNAcentral